This 232-nucleotide ribosomal RNA is filed under the name uncultured Alicycliphilus sp. RNAcentral describes it as "partial 16S ribosomal RNA". It matches the Rfam family "Bacterial small subunit ribosomal RNA", at positions 548 to 774 of the family's 1533-position model. The record is from RNAcentral. Lineage: Bacteria; Pseudomonadati; Pseudomonadota; Betaproteobacteria; Burkholderiales; Comamonadaceae.
AGAGAUGCACUGGGUGUAAAGCGUGCGCAGGCGGUUUUUGUAAGACAGAGGUGAAAUCCCCGGGCUCAACCUGGGAACUGCCUUUGUGACUGCAAGGCUGGAGUGCGGCAGAGGGGGAUGGAAUUCCGCGUGUAGCAGUGAAAUGCGUAGAUAUGCGGAGGAACACCGAUGGCGAAGGCAAUCCCCCUGGGCCUGCACUGACGCUCAUGCACGAAAGCGUGGGGAGCAAACA